This is a long non-coding RNA of Lolium perenne, 2354 nucleotides long. RefSeq lists it as uncharacterized. NCBI's taxonomy places the organism in Eukaryota, Viridiplantae, Streptophyta, Magnoliopsida, Poales, Poaceae. The record is from RefSeq and is a predicted model, not a curated record.
UACGGCACCAAUCUUCUGCCCAGACCGACACGCCUGAAGCCACCGAUGGCCUUGCUCGCCAGACCGACGCGAAGGGCGUCAGUUAGCAGCGCACGGACCUUCUCGCAAUAGCAACGCCACGACCAGUUCUUUCCCUCGCCACUUCGGCCUUUUCCUCUUCAGUCCGCAUAAACUGCGAGGAAGGUGAGCAAUCGGUCGCCUCAUAUUCUCCCCACGAAGCGCCCUUCUCCCAUCCCAAAUCCCAAACACUCUCUCCUCAUCGCGAAAUUAAAGGGCAUCUCUCUGCCUUCCCUUUGCGCUGCAAGGUCACAAAGGAAUAUGCAAAAUCGGCGGAUAUAGCAGCCUGGCAGGGAACCUCCGUCCAAAGGUGAGUUUCUCUGGCCUUGAAUCGGAUUUGCACCGUUGUAUUUGGUCCUGUGUAGGUAAGGCUGGACUGCGUGCUGGAGAAGGUGGAUCUGGACGGUCCUAUCUUUUUUGAGUCCAUGGCCAAGGUAUGUCCUUCCACCCUCUUUUUUCUUAGAUUUUCUGAACCUUCUCUUUUUGAUUUCAGCAUGUUGUGGUCUGGAGAUUUUGGAACCUCGCGUACCUACCUCAUUCUAUCUGAUACAUUGUUGAGCCCAAAUCACGUGUGGUAUCAUAUAUACUCCGUAAUUGUGAUUAGCUGAUGCAUAAAUUUGUGAAUUAUUCUGUUGCUGUUGUAGAUUCGUUCUCCCUGGUUUAAGAUUGGUGUAGCCGUCGACAACCAUCCCUGCUCGUGAUGCCGUCGCUGGCACCAGCCUCCACUCCAGAUUUUGAUUCUCCCUUUCUUUUUUUAUCAAUAUGUUAGGCUGCGCACUGGCUCCAAACCUUCUCGACGUUUUGCCUCCCCGUGACUUGGUUGUAUUUUCAUUGGAUAAUGCCUGCUGCUGAUUCAAGCCCACUCCGAUUUAAUUGGAUUUUGUGUAUUGGUGGCUCAAGCAAAUACGAAGAAGCUAUCCUCACGUCUACAGCUUAUGAACGUUAGACAACAGUUGCUGUUUCCAUAGAUGAUUUGCAGUUGUAUUGGGGUCUAAGGAGUUCUCUAUCUGUUUUACAAUUUAGUUCAUAACAAUCAUUCUGAUUUCCGAAGCAAGACUACUAAAAGUAGGGUCAUAUGUCCAUCGAUCCAUUAUACAUGACUGUUUCUCUCAUCAUGGUAUUCCAUAUUUCUUUUUCAAUCUACAUGUGACGUCUCUUCACUUUGCUUGAUUUCUAUUAAACACAUUCGUUUCUUUAUGGCCUACAUAGUACAGAACUACAGAUGUACCACCCAUGAUGAUCUCAGAAUGUAAGGUGUAAGUGGACUUUCAACUUACUUUACAUAUAUGGUGUAUAUGUAUCAUAGUAGUUUCUGGUUUUUUUUCAUUUUCCCUGUGGCUUACUGGUCUUACAACAUUGAUAGGAAAGUCACCACUUCUACAAAACCAGAAAAGCAAAGAGCGGAGCAACCAUGCAAGGAGACAAUUGCCCAAGUCAACCACGCAUUGUUGCAUAUUUCUACAGAACAAACACAUACUUAUCUUAUAAAUUUGUAAUUGUUGUAGUUUAUUAAUCACAGUGAGUCGCUUAUCUGCAUCUCACACAAACAACGCCAGCCAUCACACUCUCUCUAAAGGUACCAAUACUCAAGUAUUAGGGGAUUAUUUGGUAAUUCACUUUACUUUAGGUUUUCAACUUUUGAACUAUAUAUAGUUCUAGCAAAUACUGCGAAGGGUCUAAAGACUAUUUAUUAUUACUUAUUUCCUCAACACUUUGUGACCAACAGAUUAAAAUGUCAGGUCCUCUCUUUCUCUCCAAUUGCAGGAAGGUGCUGUUAUAACCCCUUAAUACCACCAUCCCUUAUUUAACAACAACAGCCCCAUUUCUUUCAUUCAGAAAAAAAUACAAAUAUAACUUGCUACAGCCUUCUCCUGUCUGUGAAACAUGGAGCCACAACAAGCAAAACAGCAUGCCAAGGAUGCCAACAAUAUAUGUACUUCCAACUCAUCAUCAAAUCCAUCGAAGCUAGCCAGAUGUGUAUAGAGGCAAUACAGAAACUCAGGGAGAGUAAACGAGCACUGCAUUGAACUUUCCAUGAGAGGAGCAAAUACUGAACUUCACAUCCGGACAUCACAAUCAUAACUGGAUCUGAUCAUCCAUUUUUCACAAUUGAAUACACCAAACAUGAAAAAAAAAAUAGCUAUCCUUUCCGGUGAGAAGAUCUACAAAGGCACUGAAUAGUUAUGAAUUCACUCAUCGAGUACUCAUAUCAUGUAAUAAAAAAAUCAUUGACUUUGAAAUCAUGUAAUGCCCUGUUUUAUAUUAAAGUUUUCAAACUGCUCUAUAAAUUCUUAUAA